This 433-nucleotide ribosomal RNA is filed under the name uncultured bacterium. RNAcentral describes it as "partial 16S ribosomal RNA". It matches the Rfam family "Bacterial small subunit ribosomal RNA", at positions 29 to 507 of the family's 1533-position model. The record is from RNAcentral.
AGCGAACGCUGGCGGCAGGCCUAACACAUGCAAGUCGAACGAACUCUUCGGAGUUAGUGGCGGACGGGUGAGUAACACGUGGGAACGUGCCUUUUGGUUCGGAAUAACUCAGGGAAACUUGUGCUAAUACCGAAUGUGCCCUUCGGGGGAAAGAUUUAUCGCCAUUAGAGCGGCCCGCGUCUGAUUAGCUAGUUGGUGAGGUAACGGCUCACCAAGGCGACGAUCAGUAGCUGGUCUGAGAGGAAGACCAGCCACACUGGGACUGAGACACGGCCCAGACUCCUACGGGAUGCAGCAGUGGGGGAUCUUGCGCAAUGGGCGAAAGCCUGACGCAGCCAUGCCGCGUGAAUGAUGAAGGUCUUAGGAUUGUAAAAUUCUUUCACCGGGGACGAUAAUGACGGUACCCGGAGAAGAAGCCCCGGCUAACUUCGUG